RNAcentral lists this ribosomal RNA (913 nucleotides) under Arthrobacter sp. 75aB4_12EMannit. Its description in RNAcentral is "bacterial SSU rRNA". It matches the Rfam family "Bacterial small subunit ribosomal RNA", at positions 53 to 977 of the family's 1533-position model. Lineage: Bacteria; Bacillati; Actinomycetota; Actinomycetes; Micrococcales; Micrococcaceae. The record is from RNAcentral.
ACAUGCAAGUCGAACGAUGAAGCCCAGCUUGCUGGGUGGAUUAGUGGCGAACGGGUGAGUAACACGUGAGUAACCUGCCCCCGACUCUGGGAUAAGCCCGGGAAACUGGGUCUAAUACCGGAUAUUACCUCUUGCCGCAUGGCAGGUGGUGGAAAGAUUUAUCGGUGGGGGAUGGACUCGCGGCCUAUCAGCUUGUUGGUGAGGUAAUGGCUCACCAAGGCGACGACGGGUAGCCGGCCUGAGAGGGUGACCGGCCACACUGGGACUGAGACACGGCCCAGACUCCUACGGGAGGCAGCAGUGGGGAAUAUUGCACAAUGGGCGAAAGCCUGAUGCAGCGACGCCGCGUGAGGGAUGACGGCCUUCGGGUUGUAAACCUCUUUCAGUAGGGAAGAAGCGAAAGUGACGGUACCUGCAGAAGAAGCGCCGGCUAACUACGUGCCAGCAGCCGCGGUAAUACGUAGGGCGCAAGCGUUAUCCGGAUUUAUUGGGCGUAAAGAGCUCGUAGGCGGUUUGUCGCGUCUGCCGUGAAAGUCCGAGGCUCAACCUCGGAUCUGCGGUGGGUACGGGCAGACUAGAGUGAUGUAGGGGAGACUGGAAUUCCUGGUGUAGCGGUGAAAUGCGCAGAUAUCAGGAGGAACACCGAUGGCGAAGGCAGGUCUCUGGGCAUUUACUGACGCUGAGGAGCGAAAGCAUGGGGAGCGAACAGGAUUAGAUACCCUGGUAGUCCAUGCCGUAAACGUUGGGCACUAGGUGUGGGGGACAUUCCACGUUUUCCGCGCCGUAGCUAACGCAUUAAGUGCCCCGCCUGGGGAGUACGGCCGCAAGGCUAAAACUCAAAGGAAUUGACGGGGGCCCGCACAAGCGGCGGAGCAUGCGGAUUAAUUCGAUGCAACGCGAAGAACCUUACCAA